GACGAACGCUGGCGGCGUGCCUAACACAUGCAAGUCGAGCGGAGAUUGCAGAGAUGUGAUUUUAGCGGCGGACGGGUGAGUAACGCGUGGGCAACCUGCCCUGUACAGGGGGAUAACGCCGGGAAACUGGCGCUAAUACCGCAUGACAUAUAUAUAUGGCAUCAUAUGUAUAUCAAAGGAGGAAUCCGGUAUGGGAUGGGCCCGCGUCCGAUUAGCCAGUUGGUGGGGUAACGGCCUACCAAAGCGACGAUCGGUAGCCGAACUGAGAGGUUGGACGGCCACAUUGGGACUGAGACACGGCCCAGACUCCUACGGGAGGCAG
This 322-nucleotide ribosomal RNA is filed under the name uncultured Bacillota bacterium. RNAcentral describes it as "bacterial SSU rRNA". It matches the Rfam family "Bacterial small subunit ribosomal RNA", at positions 28 to 351 of the family's 1533-position model. The record is from RNAcentral. Lineage: Bacteria; Bacillati; Bacillota.